CAGCAGCCCGAGUGGUGGCCGUUUUUAUUGGGCCUAAAGCGUCCGUAGCCGGUCUAGUAAAUCCCUGGAUAAAUCGUACAGCUUAACUGUACGGCUCCCGGGGAGACUGCUAGACUUGGGACUGGGAGAGGUCGGAGGUACUCCAGGGGUAGGGGUGAAAUCUUGUAAUCCUUGGGGGACCACCAGUGGCGAAGGCGUCCGACUAGAACGGGUCCGACGGUAAGGGACGAAGCCCUGGGGCGCGAACCGGAUUAGAUACCCGAGUAGUCC
RNAcentral lists this ribosomal RNA (270 nucleotides) under uncultured archaeon. RNAcentral's name for it is "partial 16S ribosomal RNA". It matches the Rfam family "Archaeal small subunit ribosomal RNA", at positions 477 to 747 of the family's 1478-position model. The record is from RNAcentral.